Molecule: unclassified non-coding RNA, 340 nt
Filed under: Hevea brasiliensis (rubber tree)
Lineage: Eukaryota; Viridiplantae; Streptophyta; Magnoliopsida; Malpighiales; Euphorbiaceae
Source: RNAcentral
GAAAGAGCUCCACCGCCGCUUUUGCCUUUUCCCUUUGAUGGGUAUUUCAAAGAGCUCACAAUGUUAGCAAAUGAUUGAUCAGCACAAACGGGAAGGCCCAAGGAGACGACAUUGUUGUGAGCUUUCAAGCCACCAAAUGAGUUAAGCCCAGUUAUGUAAUGGACAUUGGUUUGCCUCAGCCGCCUUGAACCGGCGGCGAUGGGGGCGGCGGUGGACAUGGCCGGCGAAAGGGUAGCGGAGGCUGUAGCCAUUGAUUGAUGCCUGAAAGAAGAGGAAGAGAAGGAAGAGUCAAAUUGAGUGAAAACCCAGAUGGGGAAAGGGAUUUUGAAGGAGAAAGAAG